GUCGGCGGUGGUUGGGUGGUAAGAUGGCGGCUGUGAGUCUGCGGCUCGGCGACUUGGUGUGGGGGAAACUCGGCCGAUAUCCUCCUUGGCCAGGAAAGAUUGUUAAUCCACCAAAGGACUUGAAGAAACCUCGCGGAAAGAAAUGCUUCUUUGUGAAAUUUUUUGGAACAGAAGAUCAUGCCUGGAUCAAAGUGGAACAGCUGAAGCCAUAUCAUGCUCAUAAAGAGGAAAUGAUAAAAAUUAACAAGGGUAAACGAUUCCAGCAAGCGGUAGAUGCUGUCGAAGAGUUCCUCAGGAGAGCCAAAGGGAAAGACCAGACGUCAUCCCACAAUUCUUCUGAUGACAAGAAUCGACGUAAUUCCAGUGAGGAGAGAAGUAGGCCAAACUCAGGUGAUGAGAAGCGCAAACUUAGCCUGUCUGAAGGGAAGGUGAAGAAGAACAUGGGAGAAGGAAAGAAGAGGGUGUCUUCAGGCUCUUCAGAGAGAGGCUCCAAAUCCCCUCUGAAAAGAGCCCAAGAGCAAAGUCCCCGGAAGCGGGGUCGGCCCCCAAAGGAUGAGAAGGAUCUCACCAUCCCGGAGUCUAGUACCGUGAAGGGGAUGAUGGCCGGACCGAUGGCCGCGUUUAAAUGGCAGCCAACCGCAAGCGAGCCUGUUAAAGAUGCAGAUCCUCAUUUCCAUCAUUUCCUGCUAAGCCAAACAGAGAAGGAAACUGGCUCCACCUCCAUCCAGGCAGCUGACAGCACAGCCGUGAAUGGCAGCAUCACACCCACAGACAAAAAGAUAGGAUUUUUGGGCCUUGGUCUCAUGGGAAGUGGAAUCGUCUCCAACUUGCUAAAAAUGGGUCACACAGUGACUGUCUGGAACCGCACUGCAGAGAAAUGUGAUUUGUUCAUCCAGGAGGGGGCCCGUCUGGGAAGAACCCCCGCUGAAGUCGUCUCAACCUGCGACAUCACUUUCGCCUGCGUGUCGGAUCCCAAGGCGGCCAAGGACCUGAUAGAAAUCAGGAAAUGAGCCAAAACAGCAGCAGGAUUCUGAUCUGAGGUCUGUAGGGCUCCUGAGCAUCUGCCCGGGAGCCUGGGCUAUUGCUUCUCCCUUGUGUCCCCACAGCUGGUGCUGGGCCCCAGUGGUGUGCUGCAAGGGAUCCGCCCUGGGAAGUGCUACGUGGACAUGUCAACAGUGGACGCUGACACCGUCACUGAGCUGGCCCAGGUGAUUGUGUCCAGGGGGGGGCGCUUUCUGGAAGCCCCCGUCUCAGGGAAUCAGCAGCUGUCUAAUGACGGGAUGUUGGUGAUCUUAGCGGCUGGAGACAGGGGCUUAUAUGAGGACUGCAGCAGCUGCUUCCAGGCGAUGGGGAAGACCUCCUUCUUCCUAGGUGAAGUGGGCAAUGCAGCCAAGAUGAUGCUGAUCGUGAACAUGGUCCAAGGGAGCUUCAUGGCCACUAUUGCCGAGGGGCUGACCCUGGCCCAGGUGACAGGCCAGUCCCAGCAGACACUCUUGGACAUCCUCAAUCAGGGACAGUUGGCCAGCAUCUUCCUGGACCAGAAGUGCCAAAAUAUCCUGCAAGGAAACUUUAAGCCUGAUUUCUACCUGAAAUACAUUCAGAAGGAUCUCCGCUUAGCCAUUGCGCUGGGUGAUGCGGUCAACCAUCCGACUCCCAUGGCAGCUGCAGCAAAUGAGGUGUACAAAAGAGCCAAGGCGCUGGACCAGUCUGACAACGAUAUGUCCGCCGUGUACCGAGCCUACAUACACUAAGCUGUCGACACCCCGCCCUCACCCCUCCAAUCCCCCCUCUGACCCCCUCUUCCUCACAUGGGGUCGGGGGCCUGGGAGUUCAUUCUGGACCAGCCCACCUAUCUCCAUUUCCUUUUAUACAGACUUUGAGACUUGCCAUCAGCACAGCACACAGCAGCACCCUUCCCCUGAGGCCGGUGGGGAGGGGACAAGUGUCAGCAGGAUUGGCGUGUGGGAAAGCUCUUGAGCUGGGCACUGGCCCCCCGGACGAGGUGGCUGUGUGUUCACACACACACACACACACACACACACACACACACACAGGCUCUCGCCCCAGGAUAGAAGCUGCCCAGAAACUGCUGCCUGGCUUUUUUUCUUCCGAGCUUGUCUUAUCUCAAACCCCUUCCAGUCAAGGAACUAGAAUCAGCAACGAGAGUUGGAAGCCUUCCCACAGCUUCCCCCAGAGCGAAGAGGCUGUAGUCAUGUCCCCAUCCCCCACUGGAUUCCCUACAAGGAGAGGCCUUGGGCCCAGAUGAGCCAGUACAGACUCCAGACAGAGGGGCCCUUGGGGCCCUCCAACCUCAGGUGAUGAGCUGAGAAAGAUGUUCACGUCUAAGCGUCCAGUGUGCACCCAGCGCUCCAUAGACGCCUUUGUGAACUGAAAAGAGACUGGCAGAGUCCCGAGAAGAUGGGGCCCUGGCUUUCCAGGGAGUGCAGCAAGCAGCCGGCCUGCAGGUGAGCAUGGAGGCCCGGCCCUCACCGCCUCGAAGCCAUGCCCCAGAUGCCACUGCCACAGCGGGCGCUCGCUCCUCCCUAGGCUGUUUUAGUAUUUGGAUUUGCAUUCCAUCCCUUGGGAGGGAGUCCUCAGGGCCACUAGUGAUGAGCCAAGAGGAGUGGGGGUUGGGGGCGCUCCUUUCUGUUUCCGUUAGGCCACAGACUCUUCACCUGGCUCUGAAGAGCCACUCUUACCUCGGUCCCCUCCCAGUGGUCCCACCUUCUCCACCCUGCCCUGCCAAGUCCCCUGCAUGCCCACCGCUCUCCAUCCUCCCUCCUCUCCCUCUUCCUCCCGUGGAGACAGUAUUUCUUUCUGUCUGUCCCUUUGGCCCAGACCCAGCCUGACCAACGAUGAGCAUUUCUUAGGCUCAGCUCUUGAUACGGAAACGAGUGUCUUCACUCCAGCCAGCAUCAUGGUCUUCGGUGCUUCCCGGGCCCGGGGUCUGUCGGGAGGGAAGAGAACUGGGCCUGACCUACCUGAACUGACUGGCCCUCCGAGGUGGGUCUGGGACAUCCUAGAGGCCCUACAUUUGUCCUUGGAUAGGGGACCGGGGGGGGCUUGGAAUGUUGCAAAAAAAAAAGUUACCCAAGGGAUGUCAGUUUUUUAUCCCUCUGCAUGGGUUGGAUUUUCCAAAAUCAUAAUUUGCAGAAGGAAGGCCAGCAUUUACGAUGCAAUAUGUAAUUAUAUAUAGGGUGGCCACACUAGGGCGGGGUCCUUCCCCCCUCACAGCUUUGGCCCCUUUCAGAGAUUAGAAACUGGGUUAGAGGAUUGCAGAAGACGAGUGGGGGGAGGGCAGGGAAGAUGCCUGUCGGGUUUUUAGCACAGUUCAUUUCACUGGGAUUUUGAAGCAUUUCUGUCUGAACACAAAGCCUGUUCUAGUCCUGGCGGAACACACUGGGGGUGGGGGCGGGGGAAGAUGCGGUAAUGAAACCGGUUAGUCAAUUUUGUCUUAAUAUUGUUGACAAUUCUGUAAAGUUCCUUUUUAUGAAUAUUUCUGUUUAAGCUAUUUCACCUUUCUUUUGAAAUCCUUCCCUUUUAAGGAGAAAAUGUGACACUUGUGAAAAAGCUUGUAAGAAAGCCCCUCCCUUUUUUCUUUAAACCUUUAAAUGACAAAUCUAGGUAAUUAAGGUUGUGAAUUUUUAUUUUUGCUUUGUUUUUAAUGAACAUUUGUCUUUCAGAAUAGGAUUGUGUGAUAAUGUUUAAAUGGCAAAAACAAAACAUGAUUUUGUGCAAUUAACAAAGCUACUGCAAGAAAAAUAAAACACUUCUUGGUAACACA
Molecule: RNA transcript, 3784 nt
Organism: Homo sapiens (human)
Lineage: Eukaryota; Metazoa; Chordata; Mammalia; Primates; Hominidae
Gene: GLYR1
Gene name: glyoxylate reductase 1 homolog
Exons: 15
Source: RefSeq, marked validated